UACGAAGGGGGCUAGCGUUGCUCGGAAUCACUGGGCGUAAAGCGCACGUAGGCGGCUUAUUAAGUCAGGGGUGAAAUCCUGGAGCUUAACUCCAGAACUGCCUUUGAUACUGAUGAGCUUGAGUCCGGGAGAGGUGAGUGGAACUGCGAGUGUAGAGGUGAAAUUCGUAGAUAUUCGCAAGAACACCAGUGGCGAAGGCGGCUCACUGGCCCGGUACUGACGCUGAGGUGCGAAAGCUAGGGGAGCAAACGGG
Molecule: ribosomal RNA, 253 nt
Filed under: uncultured bacterium
Lineage: Bacteria
Description: partial 16S ribosomal RNA
Rfam family: Bacterial small subunit ribosomal RNA
Source: RNAcentral